CUCGUAGGUGGCUCUGUAAGUAGGUGGUGAAAGCCCACGGCUCAACCGUGGAUACGCCUCCUAAACUGUGGAGCUUGAGGCUGGGAGAGGAAAUCGGAAUUCCUGGUGUAGCGGUGAAAUGCGUAGAUAUCAGGAGGAACACCGGUGGCGAAGGCGGAUUUCUGGACCAGUUCUGACACUGAGGAGCGAAAGCCAGGGAGCAAACA
This 206-nucleotide ribosomal RNA is filed under the name uncultured bacterium. Its description in RNAcentral is "partial 16S ribosomal RNA". It matches the Rfam family "Bacterial small subunit ribosomal RNA", at positions 568 to 774 of the family's 1533-position model. The record is from RNAcentral.